Molecule: transfer RNA, 71 nt
Filed under: Loxodonta africana (African savanna elephant)
Lineage: Eukaryota; Metazoa; Chordata; Mammalia; Proboscidea; Elephantidae
Rfam family: tRNA
About the family: Transfer RNA (tRNA) molecules are approximately 80 nucleotides in length.
Source: Rfam by way of RNAcentral
GCAGUCAUGGUUCAAUGGUAGAAUUCUCACCUUCCAUGUGAGAGAUUCAGGUUUGAUUCCCAGCCAGUGCA